RNAcentral lists this ribosomal RNA (425 nucleotides) under uncultured cyanobacterium. RNAcentral describes it as "bacterial SSU rRNA". It matches the Rfam family "Bacterial small subunit ribosomal RNA", at positions 355 to 795 of the family's 1533-position model. Lineage: Bacteria; Bacillati; Cyanobacteriota. The record is from RNAcentral.
UGGGGAAUCUUCCGCAAUGGGCGAAAGCCUGACGGAGCAAGACCGCGUGGGGGAGGAAGGUUUUUGGAUCGUAAACCCCUUUUGUCAAGGAAGAAGCUCUGACGGUACUUGACGAAUAAGCCUCGGCUAACUCCGUGCCAGCAGCCGCGGUAAUACGGAGGAGGCAAGCGUUAUCCGGAAUGAUUGGGCGUAAAGCGUCUGUAGGUGGCCAGCUAAGUCUGCUGUUAAAGAUCACAGCUCAACUGUGGGAAGGCAGUGGAAACUGGCAAGCUAGAGGUUGGUAGGGGUAAAGGGAAUUCCCGGUGUAGCGGUGAAAUGCGUAGAUAUCGGGAAGAACACCGGUGGCGAAAGCGCUUUACUGGGCCAGACCUGACACUGAAGGACGAAAGCUAGGGGAGCGAAAGGGAUUAGAUACCCCUGUAGUC